This is a non-coding RNA of Mycena vulgaris, 90 nucleotides long. The record is from the annotation of a GenBank genome assembly. NCBI's taxonomy places the organism in Eukaryota, Fungi, Basidiomycota, Agaricomycetes, Agaricales, Mycenaceae.
GGCUCAGUGGUGGACGGUUAACAUCUGCAUUCUAUGGGGCUGUAUUAAAACUCAGUGCAGGGGAAGCCUGUUCGAUUCGGGCCUGAGCUA